CUACGGAUUAGUCCGCACU
This 19-nucleotide small nuclear RNA is filed under the name Arabidopsis thaliana (thale cress). Its description in RNAcentral is "snRNA_04544". The record is from RNAcentral. Lineage: Eukaryota; Viridiplantae; Streptophyta; Magnoliopsida; Brassicales; Brassicaceae.